RNAcentral lists this long non-coding RNA (220 nucleotides) under Mytilus galloprovincialis (Mediterranean mussel). Lineage: Eukaryota; Metazoa; Mollusca; Bivalvia; Mytilida; Mytilidae. The record is from RNAcentral.
GGAUUGUAAAAACCAGAGAACCAAAGGUCUAGAAGUCAAUGUAAUUGCAAAACUAAUGUUUAUUUGAUAGGGACAUAAACUAAGAUCCCACAAAUGGACACCUCAAUUAAUUGUGAAAGGGAGUUUUAACGUGAAUAGACGGUGUUAGUAACCUCACAAGUCAUGGGAGUCACCAUUCUGACAGGACGUGAUUGGAUUUUUUUUUACAUCCGUUACAGCC